AAAGGAAUAGACGGGCACCCGCACAAGCGGUGGAGCAUGCUGUUUAAUUCGAAGAUACGCGAAAAACCUUACCUAGACUUGACAUCCCUGGCAAUGCUAUAGAAAUAUAGCGGAGGUUACCCAGGUGACAGGUGGUGCAUGGUUGUCGUCAGCUCGUGUCGUGAGAUGUUCGGUUAAGUCCGAUAACGAGCGCAACCCUUAUCAUUAGUUGCUAACAUUUAGUUGAGAACCCUAAUGAGACUGCCGUUGAUAAAACGGAGGAAGGUGGGGAUGACGUCAAAUCAUCAUGCCCCUUACGUCUAGGGCUACAGGCGUGCUACAAUGGCCGGUAUAAUGAGUUGCGAAACCGUAAGGUGGAGCCAAUCUCCAAAGCCGGUCCCAGUUCGGAUUGUGGUCUGCAACUCGACCACAUGAAGUUGGAAUCGCUAGUAAUCCCGAAUCAGAAUGUCGGGGUGAAUACGUUCCCGGGUGUUGUACACACCGCCCGU
RNAcentral lists this ribosomal RNA (488 nucleotides) under uncultured bacterium. RNAcentral describes it as "bacterial SSU rRNA". It matches the Rfam family "Bacterial small subunit ribosomal RNA", at positions 903 to 1397 of the family's 1533-position model. The record is from RNAcentral.